GUGAUAUUGGAUGUGUUGGCUUUCCAUUGGCAAAAUAUCUGAGAAAAUCAACCCAAAGGAGGAAAGGCCCGAUGGGGACACAGAGCUGUGUUACAUCAUGUCAGACGGCAAUCGACGCGCUGCUAACACAAGCUGACAAGAAGGCCCUAGCAAUCUGCUUAUCUGGAUCCUGCCCUUGCUGAGUAAAGGCCACUAUCAGAAUUAUUCACACGGAAUUACAGCAGCUGGGAGUCUGCAGAGUACUCAUUACAUCACCCUCAGGUUAGUCACUCAGCACGGAGGGAGCCUAGCCUGCCCUGGCCCCUGCCCCUUCCCCGCCCUUCCCCGGCAGGUGGGGUCCUUCCUGGCUCACACACCAAGACCAAAAGUCACAUCGGGCCAGUCUCAGAGUGGCCUUGUCUGUGCACAGGGUCUCUUUUCUGAGGCCCUUGCUGUGCAGUGAGCAGAGUCACGCAACGGGGGGGACCCUGGAGGAGAAGGAGGCUUGGGACAAGGUAGUGAGGCCCUUUCCUGGAAGGGUCCCGCCAACCUCUGGGCCCAAAUAUCACUGCAAGCAAUUUAAUGGACCUGUGGAGUCUCCAGCCUGACUUCCACAGAGGCUGCCUGCUUCCUACAUGUCUUGCAAAGGAAAAGACACGAGUACUGAGAGGAGAAGACACCUCAAGAAUGCUCAGACCCUCUGAGACGUUCCCAGCUUGCUCCCACGAGCCAACCCUGGCUUCUACCCUUGACACACCCCUCCUGCACCUCCUCAAGCGACAAGCCCACACCUGCAAUCCAAACACACUCGGGGUACACCCGGCACAUGUCCGUUCCCAUGCAAAACCCAGCAAAACUGAUGGUGGAGGCUGUGGGAGAGAGGCGGGAAGAGAGAAUGUGGUUAAGAAGGUGGGUUCAAAGGCAUGGGCCCCUUAUUACUGCCAUCCCGUAAUAACACACAGGAGCAACAUGGCCUGAACUUGAAGGCAGGCAGGGCUGGAGGAAGAUCAAGGCUUCUGGGAAAGACAGAAGUGCUCUCUGACCUAUUUACUGAUUUAUGUUCAAAUUGUGAUUCAAAUUCUAGCUAUACCCUAUUUUACACAUAUCAGAACUUGGCGGAAAUUCCCAGCCUGUCUCUGGCCCCAGCUGCUCUCCAAAAUAGUGUCC
RNAcentral lists this long non-coding RNA (1146 nucleotides) under Heterocephalus glaber (naked mole-rat). RNAcentral describes it as "lncRNA (ENSHGLG00000039081.1)". Lineage: Eukaryota; Metazoa; Chordata; Mammalia; Rodentia; Bathyergidae. The record is from RNAcentral.